GAGGCUGAGGCACCGAUCAGGGAAUGGAUGUGCCAACAGGAAUGGGAAAAUCCGCAUGCACACAACACUGUGCUCCCAUCAACACCCGGGGAGUGUGGCUGAAUUAAUGUACAGCUGCAUUAACAGUGACUGCCAGAGGAAUUAAAGUCUAUACUGCAUAGUGCCACAGAAAGAGAUGCUAAAAAUUUUUAAAUUAUGUUCACUGAUAAAAACAAGUAAGUUUGUGAAGUUUGGGCCUCAAGACACAUCCACAUCACUGAAGAGCUGCAUCUGACAAUGUAACAGAAAUACUGGAGGCAGAAGUUUUCAGCAGGCUUUGCAGAAAGGCUUUCCCAGACAGCAACUGAUAACCUAUAAAUUCAGAAGUUCCUGCCCUGUAAUACAACUGAGAUAUAAUUUCCCACGGUGAGAAUUGGUCCCUCUUCCAAUUACAUGUUUUCAUCUUUGCACUGACUCUGCCACUCACUUGACUUCUAGUGAGUUUGUUCAACUCUCCAACUAAGCAGAAAAAUACUGAGGGUUUGGUGUGGGGGGCCGUGUUUGUGUUGGU
This is a non-coding RNA of Cyanistes caeruleus (blue tit), 550 nucleotides long. The record is from RefSeq and is a predicted model, not a curated record. NCBI's taxonomy places the organism in Eukaryota, Metazoa, Chordata, Aves, Passeriformes, Paridae.